This 2771-nucleotide ribosomal RNA is filed under the name metagenome. Its description in RNAcentral is "bacterial LSU rRNA". It matches the Rfam family "Bacterial large subunit ribosomal RNA". The record is from RNAcentral.
AGCGUACACGGUGGAUGCCCUGGCAGUCAGAGGCGAUGAAGGACGUGCUAAUCUGCGAAAAGCGUCGGUAAGGUGAUAUGAACCGUUACAGCCGGCGAUGUCCGAAUGGGGAAACCCAGUGCAAUUCGUUGCACUAUCGUUAACUGAAUACAUAGGUUAACGAGGCGAACCGGGGGAACUGAAACAUCUAAGUACCCCGAGGAAAAGAAAUCAACCGAGAUUCCCCCAGUAGCGGCGAGCGAACGGGGAGCAGCCCAGAGUCUGAAUCAGCUUGUGUGUUAGUGGAACGGUCUGGAAAGUCCGACGGUACAGGGUGAUAGUCCCGUACACCAAAAUGCACAGGCUGUGAACUCGAAGAGUAGGGCGGGACACGUGGUAUCCUGUCUGAAUAUGGGGGGACCAUCCUCCAAGGCUAAAUACUCCUGACUGACCGAUAGUGAACCAGUACCGUGAGGGAAAGGCGAAAAGAACCCCGGCGAGGGGAGUGAAAAAGAACCUGAAACCGUGUACGUACAAGCAGUGGGAGCACCUUCGGGUGUGACUGCGUACCUUUUGUAUAAUGGGUCAGCGACUUAUAUUCUGUAGCAAGGUUAACCGUAUAGGGGAGCCGCAGGGAAACCGAGUCUUAACUGGGCGUUAAGUUGCAGGGUAUAGACCCGAAACCCGGUGAUCUAGCCAUGGGCAGGUUGAAGGUUGGGUAACACUAACUGGAGGACCGAACCGACUAAUGUUGAAAAAUUAGCGGAUGACUUGUGGCUGGGGGUGAAAGGCCAAUCAAACCGGGAGAUAGCUGGUUCUCCCCGAAAGCUAUUUAGGUAGCGCCUCGUGAACUCAUCUUCGGGGGUAGAGCACUGUUUCGGCUAGGGGGUCAUCCCGACUUACCAACCCGAUGCAAACUACGAAUACCGAAGAAUGUUAUCACGGGAGACACACGGCGGGUGCUAACGUCCGUCGUGAAGAGGGAAACAACCCAGACCGCCAGCUAAGGUCCCAAAGUCAUGGUUAAGUGGGAAACGAUGUGGGAAGGCACAGACAGCCAGGAUGUUGGCUUAGAAGCAGCCAUCAUUUAAAGAAAGCGUAAUAGCUCACUGGUCGAGUCGGCCUGCGCGGAAGAUGUAACGGGGCUAAACCAUGCACCGAAGCUGCGGCAGCGACACUAUGUGUUGUUGGGUAGGGGAGCGUUCUGUAAGCCUGCGAAGGUGUGCUGUGAGGCAUGCUGGAGGUAUCAGAAGUGCGAAUGCUGACAUAAGUAACGAUAAAGCGGGUGAAAAGCCCGCUCGCCGGAAGACCAAGGGUUCCUGUCCAACGUUAAUCGGGGCAGGGUGAGUCGACCCCUAAGGCGAGGCCGAAAGGCGUAGUCGAUGGGAAACAGGUUAAUAUUCCUGUACUUGGUGUUACUGCGAAGGGGGGACGGAGAAGGCUAUGUUAGCCGGGCGACGGUUGUCCCGGUUUAAGCAUGUAGGCUGGUUGUCCAGGCAAAUCCGGAUAAUCAAGGCUGAGGUGUGAUGACGAGGCACUACGGUGCUGAAGUAACAAAUGCCCUGCUUCCAGGAAAAGCCUCUAAGCAUCAGGUAACAUUAAAUCGUACCCCAAACCGACACAGGUGGUCAGGUAGAGAAUACCAAGGCGCUUGAGAGAACUCGGGUGAAGGAACUAGGCAAAAUGGUGCCGUAACUUCGGGAGAAGGCACGCUGGUGUGUAGGUGAAGUCCCUGCGGAUGGAGCUGAGACCAGUCGAAGAUACCAGCUGGCUGCAACUGUUUAUUAAAAACACAGCACUGUGCAAACACGAAAGUGGACGUAUACGGUGUGACGCCUGCCCGGUGCCGGAAGGUUAAUUGAUGGGGUUAUCCGUAAGGAGAAGCUCUUGAUCGAAGCCCCGGUAAACGGCGGCCGUAACUAUAACGGUCCUAAGGUAGCGAAAUUCCUUGUCGGGUAAGUUCCGACCUGCACGAAUGGCGUAAUGAUGGCCAGGCUGUCUCCACCCGAGACUCAGUGAAAUUGAACUCGCUGUGAAGAUGCAGUGUACCCGCGGCAAGACGGAAAGACCCCGUGAACCUUUACUAUAGCUUGACACUGAACAUUGAGCCUUGAUGUGUAGGAUAGGUGGGAGGCUUUGAAGCGUGGACGCCAGUCUGCGUGGAGCCAACCUUGAAAUACCACCCUUUAAUGUUUGAUGUUCUAACGUUGGCCCCUGACCGGGGUUGCGGACAGUGUCUGGUGGGUAGUUUGACUGGGGCGGUCUCCUCCCAAAGCGUAACGGAGGAGCACGAAGGUUAGCUAAUCCUGGUCGGACAUCAGGAGGUUAGUGCAAUGGCAUAAGCUAGCUUGACUGCGAGCGUGACGGCGCGAGCAGGUGCGAAAGCAGGUCAUAGUGAUCCGGUGGUUCUGAAUGGAAGGGCCAUCGCUCAACGGAUAAAAGGUACUCCGGGGAUAACAGGCUGAUACCGCCCAAGAGUUCAUAUCGACGGCGGUGUUUGGCACCUCGAUGUCGGCUCAUCACAUCCUGGGGCUGAAGUAGGUCCCAAGGGUAUGGCUGUUCGCCAUUUAAAGUGGUACGCGAGCUGGGUUUAGAACGUCGUGAGACAGUUCGGUCCCUAUCUGCCGUGGGCGCUGGAGAAUUGAGGGGGGCUGCUCCUAGUACGAGAGGACCGGAGUGGACGCAUCACUGGUGUUCGGGUUGUCAUGCCAAUGGCACUGCCCGGUAGCUAAAUGCGGAAGAGAUAAGUGCUGAAAGCAUCUAAGCACGAAACUUGCCCCGAGAUGAGUUCU